AGUGAACGCUGGCGGUAGGCCUAACACAUGCAAGUCGAACGGCAGCACAGUAAGAGCUUGCUCUUACGGGUGGCGAGUGGCGGACGGGUGAGGAAUACAUCGGAAUCUACUUUUUCGUGGGGGAUAACGUAGGGAAACUUACGCUGAUACCGCAUACGACCUACGGGUGAAAGCAGGGGAUCUUCGGACCUUGCGCGAUUGAAUGAGCCGAUGUCGGAUUAGCUAGUUGGCGGGGUAAAGGCCCACCAAGGCGACGAUCCGUAGCUGGUCUGAGAGGAUGAUCAGCCACACUGGAACUGAGACACGGUCCAGACUCCUACGGGAGGCAGCAGUGGGGAAUAUUGGACAAUGGGCGCAAGCCUGAUCCAGCCAUACCGCGUGGGUGAAGAAGGCCUUCGGGUUGUAAAGCCCUUUUGUUGGGAAAGAAAAGCAGCAGGUUAAUACCCCGCUGUUCUGACGGUACCCCAAGAAUAAGCACCGGCUAACUUCGUG
RNAcentral lists this ribosomal RNA (492 nucleotides) under uncultured bacterium. Its description in RNAcentral is "partial 16S ribosomal RNA". It matches the Rfam family "Bacterial small subunit ribosomal RNA", at positions 29 to 507 of the family's 1533-position model. The record is from RNAcentral.